This 271-nucleotide ribosomal RNA is filed under the name uncultured bacterium. Its description in RNAcentral is "partial 16S ribosomal RNA". It matches the Rfam family "Bacterial small subunit ribosomal RNA", at positions 225 to 507 of the family's 1533-position model. The record is from RNAcentral.
AUGGACUCGCGGCCUAUCAGCUUGUUGGUGAGGUAAUGGCUCACCAAGGCGACGACGGGUAGCCGGCCUGAGAGGGUGACCGGCCACACUGGGACUGAGACACGGCCCAGACUCCUACGGGAGGCAGCAGUGGGGAAUAUUGCACAAUGGGCGCAAGCCCUGAUGCAGCAACGCCGCGUGAGGGAUGACGGCCUUCGGGUUGUAAACCUCUUUUAGUAGGGAAGAAGCGAAAGUGACGGUACCUGCAGAAAAAGCACCGGCUAACUACGUG